This 887-nucleotide ribosomal RNA is filed under the name uncultured bacterium. RNAcentral describes it as "bacterial SSU rRNA". It matches the Rfam family "Bacterial small subunit ribosomal RNA", at positions 21 to 902 of the family's 1533-position model. The record is from RNAcentral.
GGCUCAGAACGAACGCUGGCGGCGUGCUUAACACAUGCAAGUCGAGCGCGAAAGGGUCCUUCGGGGCUCGAGUAGAGCGGCAGACGGGUGAGUAACACGUGGGUAACCUGCCUCUAGGUGGGGGAUAACCACCUGAAAAGGUGGCUAAUACCGCAUAAGACCACGUUCUCGCGGGGAUGGGGUCAAAGGCCCUUCGGGGUCGCCAAGAGAGGGGCCCGCGUCCGAUUAGCUCGUUGGCGGGGUAACGGCCCACCAAGGCGACGAUCGGUAGCUGGUCUGAGAGGAUGAUCAGCCACACUGGUACUGAGACACGGACCAGACUCCUACGGGAGGCAGCAGUGGGGAAUAUUGCGCAAUGGGCGAAAGCCUGACGCAGCAACGCCGCGUGGGUGAUGAAGGCCUUCGGGUCGUAAAGCCCUGUCAGGUGGGAAGAAACCUCCUCGUGAGGGGAGCUGACGGUACCACCGAAGGAAGCACCGGCUAACUCCGUGCCAGCAGCCGCGGUAAUACGGAGGGUGCAAGCGUUGUUCGGAAUUACUGGGCGUAAAGGGCGCGUAGGCGGCUAGGGAAGUCCGGUGUGAAAGCCCGGGGCUUAACCCCGGAAGUGCAUUGGAAACUCCCUGGCUUGAGUUCGGAAGAGGAGGGCAGAAUUCCCGGUGUAGGGGUGAAAUCCGUAGAUAUCGGGAGGAAAACCAGUGGCGAAGGCGGCCCUCUGGGACAGAACUGACGCUAAGGCACGAAAGCGUGGGGAGCAAACAGGAUUAGAGACCCUGGUAGUCCACGCCGUAAACGAUGGAUGCUUGGUGUGGGGAUCAAUAAGGAUCUCCGUGCCGCAGCUAACGCAGUAAGCAUCCCGCCUGGGGAGUACGGUCGCAAGACUAAAACUC